Anopheles arabiensis is the source of this 1370-nucleotide long non-coding RNA. RefSeq lists it as uncharacterized. Lineage: Eukaryota; Metazoa; Arthropoda; Insecta; Diptera; Culicidae. The record is from RefSeq and is a predicted model, not a curated record. The transcript is spliced from 3 exons.
AUGGCAUUAAUGCAAGUAUUUUUGUUUCAGAUAAAUUUCAUAAAGUGUCCGUGCGUGUUGCUUAUCGAUCUGUUUACGACAAUACCCUUACAUAUGAUAAUGUGUCCGACGCUAUUUGUGAAAGUACUGGAAGUAAACAUGACAGCAAUAUUUCAGAAUCUAAUACUUCUUCGAAUAACAAUGAUGAUAUGUUCAGUGAUGUAGAAAGCAUGUCUGAUGAUGAAACAGGAUUGGAUAAACAUUCUGAUGACGAUGCAAUGUUGGAUGAGCCUGAUUUUGAUAAAAUGGACACGAGUGAUUGUUUGAAAUAUUGGGCAUUGAGCACCAAACAAACCCAUUAUUCAAUGAAUAUGCUGUUAAAAAUAUUGAGGAAAAAAAUGAACAUGUGUCUACCAAAGGAUGCUAGAACUUUCCUGAAAACAAAUAGAAAUGGACCAGAAAUAUCAAAAAUUGGAGAUGGUCUGUUUUGGUAUCGCGGUGUUAAAGAGGGCCUCACCAAGCAUUUGCGUUUUGUUAAGGUGCCAAGCACUCUUUCGCUGAACAUCUUUAUAGAUGGACUACCACUAAGUAAAAGCAGUCCAACGCAGUUCUGGCCUAUAUUGGCAAAUAUUUAUGAAAUGCCUCAACUAUCGCCAUUUACUAUAGCAAUUUAUGCCGGAAGAUCAAAGCCAAAUGAUCUGGAUAAAUAUCUGAAGCAAUUAGUGUCAGAAUUAAAUACCCUUAUUGAUGGAGGAACAAUUAUUAACCAGACAAAAAUAGCAAUUCGAGUGCGAGCCGUCAUAGCAGAUACUCCUGCUAGAUCGUUUAUCAAAGGUGUAGCGAAUUUUAAUUCUGCCGAUGGAUGUCUCAAAUGCACAUGCGAAGCAGAAUUUAAUGAGGAUGGUAGGUGCAUGGUUUAUAAAGGAGUUAACGCCCCUCCAAGAACUGAUAAAGGUUUUAGAGGUGAAGAAUAUGGAAACCAUCACAAAUGUAGGUCACCAUUCAUUGAUUUGAAAAAAUUUGACAUUGUUAAAGGCAUACCAGUAGCAGAUAUUCUUCACUUAAUACAUUAUGGUAUGAUGCGCCGACGAGGAUAAAGUUUUAUAAUAUACCGCUAGUUUGCGUGUUUAUAACCCAAUUUUAACGUGUGCAUUUUAUCUCGUGUGUCAAUCGGGACCUUUUAACGUGUUCGUUUAUUCGUAUUGUGUGAUCGCGUAUCGUAUGUGCGUGUGUUAAAAUACCUUCACCGCGUCGGAAACGUCGAAGGAUGGAGACGGACGAAGUGAACUCUGGUGACCUUUUUGGAGAUGCCGAUCAACGACGAUUGUCGCAAGGCCGUGUUCCCGUUCCUGUCCAAGCCGCGCAUCCAAGCGGCCUGCUGCAAGGAGUUU